GGGCUAACCAUAGACUUUGUUCCAGGAAGAAUGGAUUGCGCAGAUUCUCCUGAUGAAGGACGCCUUCCUGAUGCAAAUCAAGGUGCCGGACAUUUGAGAGAAAUCUUUUACAGAAUGGGGCUUUCUGACAAGGAUAUUGUCGCGCUUUCAGGAGGCCACACUCUGGUAUAUUUAUCACCAUUUGAUGGGACAUGAAGUCGAGAUGCAGGUGGUUUGAAAUACUUUGCCUCGUCGAUUUGGCGCUCCAGGUCUU
Long non-coding RNA from Spinacia oleracea (spinach), 253 nucleotides. RefSeq lists it as uncharacterized. The record is from RefSeq and is a predicted model, not a curated record. Lineage: Eukaryota; Viridiplantae; Streptophyta; Magnoliopsida; Caryophyllales; Amaranthaceae. The transcript is spliced from 4 exons.